RNAcentral lists this unclassified non-coding RNA (1755 nucleotides) under Zea mays. RNAcentral's name for it is "misc RNA Zm00001eb128740". The record is from RNAcentral. Lineage: Eukaryota; Viridiplantae; Streptophyta; Magnoliopsida; Poales; Poaceae.
CCGCGGCGUCCGCGUCCUCCUAUAUCAGCCCCGCCUCCCUUCCUUUGCAGCAGCAACCUCCCUUCCUUUCCCUUCCCCACCCCUCCUGCUGCAGUCUCUCCUCCUCAGCGGACCCGGUCCUGGAUGGCCGCCUUCUUCGCUGCUGCUCCGCCGCCGGCGGCGGGUGCUCUCGCGUCGUUCCACCACGAGGAGCAGCAGCGUCAGGACGCCGCCGAGGAGCUGUACCACGUGGACGACGACGUCGGCGAGGGCGGCUGCGGCGCAGGACAGCAGGGGAAGCUGUGCGCCAGGGGCCACUGGCGCCCCGCCGAGGACGCCAAGCUCAAGGAGCUCGUCGCGCAGUACGGGCCCCAGAACUGGAACCUCAUCGCCGAGAGGCUGGACGGCAGAUCAGGGAAGAGCUGCCGCCUGCGGUGGUUCAACCAGCUGGACCCGCGGAUCAACCGCCGGGCCUUCUCCGGCGAGGAGGAGGAGCGGCUGCUGGCGGCGCACCGCGCGUACGGCAACAAGUGGGCGCUCAUCGCGCGCCUCUUCCCCGGCCGCACCGACAACGCCGUCAAGAACCACUGGCACGUCCUCAUGGCGCGCAAGCAGCGGGAGCACACCGGCGCGCUCCGCCGGCGCAAACCCUCGUCCUCGCCGGACCCGGCGCCGCCGACGUCGCACUUGGCGCCCGUCGUCGUCCUCCACCACCACCACCACCAGCACCACGCCGGCUCGCCUCCGCGCACCGUCGCCGCCGCUCACGCGCAGUACACGGCAGCGGACACCCGCGCGCACAGCGGCGGCGAGUCCGACGAGACCGCGUCCACCUGCACCACCGACCUGUCCCUCGGCUCCGCCGCCGCCCCCUGCUUCUACCAGAGUGGUACGUACGUACAACGGCACGGCAAAUGCUUUGCUCUGUCAGUCUCUCUGAUGGUGACGGCCUGGCGUGCUCACAACACAUGUCCUACGUACGUGCGUUCGUCCCGCAGGCUACGACGCGGCUCCGCGCGCCGCGGCGUUCGCGCCCAGCGCGCGCUCCGCCUUCUCCGCGCCGCCGGCGUCGGCGCGCCAUGGCGAGUCACGCUCCGACGACAAGGCGUCGCCGCCCUUCUUCGACUUCCUCGGCGUCGGCGCGGCAUGAUCGGGGAGGGGGGCCCCCCGCGGCGGUGUACAGGAGGCGGGCCGAAAGACGCGUAGUUUAGCUUUAGGGUCCAGUUAAUGAUCAAGAACAUGGCCUGAGAGAGGAGAAAGAAUGGUGAUGGAACUGCAGAGUACUAACAAAUUCCUCAUCGAUUUUUUUUUGCCGCUGACGUUGCUAGUAACAGUAUGGCGAUUUGACUGCUCGGCUUGGGUUGGGACUUGGGAGACGAGUUGCAAGCGCUACUACACCAAGGGCAAGCGUGGGAGAUUGACAUGGAUGAAGGAAAGAAACCGCUUGCGAGUUGCGACACAAACUGCAAGGCGAAGGCAGAUCAGAUCCUCUGCUGCCUUGCCUCUUCUGUUCACACCCUCUCUCUCUCUCUCUAUAUAUAUAUUCUUUUCAUGCGCCGUUCUGUUCUGGUCUAGGAUAUUUAUUUAUUUCUCGCCUUUCUUUUUCCUUUCUUUCUUUUUCCUCUCACUUCUCUUCCCCUUUGCAUGAAGAAGAAGAAGAAACCAGGAACCAGUUCCCUGCAUUGCAGUGCCACCCGCCCCGUGCAUUGCGAAUUGGCAAUCUCGCUCUCCUGAAACUUGCCUGCGCUAGCUCUUCUCUUCGCCUCCCCUUCCUGG